GCGGUUGCGUGAAAUAGUUCACGUAGUGGUCCCGCUAACAUCCCGCACGCAACUGUAGGGAGUCUCCUUAAAUCGAAUUUUGCGAUUUAUAUUCGUAAAAGACGCUGUUUUGGUCAGCUGUGGUCAAAAUAUUUGAUCGGACGCCAUUUUGCGAAAAUUAAACGAAGCCAUUGUGUUUGCACUGAUCUUCAAUCAGGCAAGCCACUGUGGUGACUGUGCCACUGCUACCAAAAUAUCAUCAAGCC
This is a non-coding RNA of Paramuricea clavata, 245 nucleotides long. The record is from the annotation of a GenBank genome assembly. NCBI's taxonomy places the organism in Eukaryota, Metazoa, Cnidaria, Anthozoa, Malacalcyonacea, Plexauridae.